UUCAGGCUUCGCAUGUCUUUUGUUCCUUUGUUUACUUGCUGCACGUUGUGAGAAUAGUUUGUCCUUUUCUCUUAUCACUUGAGCCAUUAAUGCUGUGCGUCCUUGCGGAAAAAACACAGCAACAGGAAUUAAAGUACUUUCAGAGUUCAGAUUGUGUUUGAGAUUAAUCCUUAUCUCGAUAUUGGAAAGGGGAGUUUACAAACAAAGUUGUAUCACCGUGGAGUCAAUAGUGGCACCUCUCGUGGCCAGACAUCUGAUUGUGUCUACAGUCGUUUGGACUUUAUCUCACCUGCAUUUCUUACACCAGCCUGUCGUACCGAGACCAGCUCUCAUUUUUGGUUGUAGGAGGACUGAAAAGACACAAUCAAACUGUUAGACUACCAAAAUAGUAAGCCUGCUUAAUGAGAAACAUUUCCUUACAAGAAUGGACACAAAGAAGUAAUGAAAAAUGUUAGGAUAGUCAACCCACAAAACAAAGGUGUGGUUAUCAAAGUUCCUCAACGGAGGGGAAGCGGAGCCAAAAUGAAUGCCAACUUAGAGUUGUUCAUCUUCUUACAGAAUAUAAGAGAUCAAUGCGAAGGAGCAGGACUACCAGAGUAGAAGUGAAGUCAGAGAUCAUCUAUACUGUUGUUCUGUGCUGUAGGGGAAAAGAGGUGCAAGCAGCUAUUGACAGUGUUUCACCAUAAUCCUUCCCUGUAUUUCCUGCUGACUAGAGCCAGUGAAGCACUUGCAUGGCGUGCAAUGGUCAUCUAAUAACAUUUUUCCUAUAGAUACUUUUUAAAAGUGAUUUAGGUUUCUGCUUCAACUACACAACUCUUUUAGGACUACACUGAGAGCCAUCAAAUGAGGCCAGCCUUGGCUAGGAUUUGAACACUGAGAGCAAGAAUUAAACCUUGAAAUCAAAAAUAUCAAGUUUUGGCAUGUACAUUGGAUUCAGAAAGUACAGGAAUUGCUGACCUCAUUUGAAUUGGCGUUCUGCAAGGCACAUUUGGUGUGUCUUUUUCAUCGCACUUCCUGCUCCCUCCUGAAUAGGAAACAGAAACCAGUUCAUCCAGAGUUGUGGAAUUCUCAGUUUUAUUCCAAGUGGUUUCCCCUAUGGCUCUGUCUGCCGGGAAUACAAAGAGUAACAGAUUUUACAGUAUAUAUGCAAAAAUACUGCCCCAUUGAUACAAGAUUAGGACCCUUCCAGGCCCUCAUCCUUAACAUCUCCUUGAAGCUUACUGUGACUGUGCAGCUCUUCUUUCUACUAUAUUAUCAAAACUGUGGCUUUGAGACUGUCUCCCUAAACCUGAGCACUUUGACAACUUCCCAGCACUGAGUCCAGCUGCCAUAAAACCCUGGGUUCCCCAGAAGAAGGCGUCAUGUACUGGCCAGAAUAACCUGCCAGAUGGAGCAUCCACUAGAAAUGACAAAGCCUCAUUGUUUGUUCUGAUACUCACACGAAGGGACAAACACUUGUGAACAUCUCUUUUUUUUUUGUUUGUUUCUGUAAUUUCUUUAAUUUACUUUUCUGUUUCCAGACAAUAAACAGGGCAGCCUGGUUGGCACUCCAAAAUUUCCAUGCAGUUUCUGAGCUGUCACUAUCACACCUGGCCACAAUAUAUAUAUUGAUAUAGAUACAUACAUACCCCCAGAUUAUGAAAAACUGCUUAAGAUAAAUGUUUAUACAGAUAUUGCCAUUUGUAUUGUAUAUUGUAUGAUUUCACCAAUCUCAUUGCUGGAUUGGUCUACUUUCACAACUUAAGCUUAACACACACAUAGACACACACUCUCACAAAGAUCCGAUCCACAUACGUACAAUGCACGUAUGAAUAAUGCCAGCACUGACAUUUGGUCAUUAGUAUUCUACAUUGGAACUCCCUGUUUUCAUUGUGAACAGUGCACAGGUGUCCCCAGAUAUAACCCACACCUACUUUGAUCCCCAAAAGUCUCCAGCUUUAAGUUUCUGGGGGUCACCAUCACAGAGUUGACAAUACUUCAGUGGUAGUAGGCAAACCACAACGUCGCCUCUACUUUCUGAGAAGGCUAAGAGAAGCUAACCUCCCCCAGAAGAUGUUGAUCAACUUUUACAGAUAAACUAUAGAGAGCAUCUUGACUAACUGCAUAACAGCCUAGUACAACAGCUACAUUACAGCCGCAAAAAAGCCCUGCAACGUGUUGUAAAAACAGUACAGGACAUUGUUGGAACUGAACUGCUAUCACUAGAACAUCAAUACAAGACUUGUUGUGUCAGAAAGACCAAAAACAUUAUCCUGGACAUGACUUGUUUAAGCCCAUCCCAUCAGACAGAUGCUUCAGAUCAAGAGA
Molecule: long non-coding RNA, 2307 nt
Organism: Polypterus senegalus (gray bichir)
Lineage: Eukaryota; Metazoa; Chordata; Cladistia; Polypteriformes; Polypteridae
Exons: 3
Source: RefSeq, a predicted model, not a curated record